This 425-nucleotide long non-coding RNA is filed under the name Nicotiana benthamiana. RNAcentral's name for it is "long non-coding RNA (NBEN_LNC010998)". The record is from RNAcentral. Lineage: Eukaryota; Viridiplantae; Streptophyta; Magnoliopsida; Solanales; Solanaceae.
UCCGAAGUUUUCAAAAUAUAAAAGAUAAUCGAUUAUCCUUAUAGCAUAAUCGAUUAUGCAAAUGACCAUUGCCAAAGUAUUAUUAAACUCUGAAAGAUAAUCGAUUAUACACAAUCUGAUAAUCGAUUAUGCUAAUUAAAGUCUGCAUAUGAUUUUUUGAAUGUUGUCAGGUAAUCGAUUAUACACAAUCUGAAAAUCGAUUAUGCUAAGUAAAAUCUGAAUAUGAGUUUUUGAACGUUCUCAGGUAAUCGAUUAUACGAUUUGGAUAAUCGAUUAUUCUGCUUAAAAUCUGGGAAUGAUUUUUGAACGAUUUGAAAAUAAUCUAUUAUGCAAAUCAGAUAAUCGAUUAUCUUAGCACAAAAUCAGCAAUUCUUGAUUGGCAAUUAGGCAACGGUUGUGGGGGUUUUGAACACUAUAAAUACANN